GGUUAAGUUAGAAAGGGCGCACGGUGGAUGCCUUGGCACAGGAGCCGAUGAAGGACGGGACGAACACCGAUAUGCUCGGGAGCUGUAAGCAAGCUUUGAUCCGGAGAUUUCCGAUGGGGAAACCCACUGCUCGUAAUGGAGUAGUAUCCAUACUUGAUACAUAGAGUAUGAGAGGCAUACCCGGGAACUGAAAACAUCUAAGUACCCGGAGGAAGAGAAAGCAAAUGCGAUUCCCUGAGUAGCGGCGAGCGAAACGGGAACAGCCCAAACCAAGAGGCUUGCCUCUUGGGGUUGUAGGACACUCUAUACGGAGUUACAAAGGAACGAUAUAAGCGAAGAGGUCUGGAAAGGCCCGCCAAAGAAGGUAACAGCCCUGUAACUGAAAUGUUGUUCUCUCCAGAGUGGAUCCUGAGUACGGCGGAACACGUGAAAUUCCGUCGGAAUCCGGGAGGACCAUCUCCCAAGGCUAAAUACUCCCUAGUGACCGAUAGUGAACCAGUACCGUGAGGGAAAGGUGAAAAGCACCCCGGAAGGGGAGUGAAAUAGAUCCUGAAACCGUGUGCCUACAAGUAGUCAGAGCCCGUUAAUGGGUGAUGGCGUGCCUUUUGUAGAAUGAACCGGCGAGUUACGAUCCCGUGCAAGGUUAAGCAGAAGAUGCGGAGCCGCAGCGAAAGCGAGUCUGAAUAGGGCGCAUGAGUACGUGGUCGUAGACCCGAAACCAGGUGAUCUACCAAAGUCAGGACACUGAAUGAGGCCCGAACCCACGCACGUUGAAAAGUGCGGAUGAGGUGUGGUAGGGGUGAAAUGCCAAUCGAACCUGGAGAUAGCUGGUUCUCUCCGAAAUAGCUUUAGGGCUAGCUCCAAGGUAAGAGUCCUCGGAGUAGAGCACUGAUUGGACUAGGGGCCCUACCGGGUUACCGAAUUCAGUCAAACUCCGAAUGCCGAUGACUUAUCCUUGGGAGUCAGACUGCGAGUGAUAAGAUCCGUAGUCGAAAGGGAAACAGCCCAGACCGCCAGCUAAGGUCCCAAAGUAUACGUUAAGUGGAAAAGGAUGUGGAGUUGCUUAGACAACCAGGAUGUUGGCUUAGAAGCAGCCACCAUUUAAAGAGUGCGUAAUAGCUCACUGGUCGAGUGACUCUGCGCCGAAAAUGUACCGGGGCUAAACGUAUCACCCGAAAGCUGCGACUGUUCUUACGAACAGUGUAGGAGAGCGUUCUAAGUGCUGUGAAGUCAGACCGGAAGGACUGGUGGAGCGCUUAGAAGUGAGAAUGCCGUAUGAGUAGCGACAGGUGAGAAUCCCGUCCACCACCGAAUGCCUAAAGGUUUCCUGAGGAAGGCUCGUCCGCUCAGGGUUAGUCGGGACCAACGCGAGGCCGAAAGGCGUAGGCGAUGGACAACAGGUUGAUAUUCUGUACCACUCCUCACCAUUUGAGCAAUGGGGGACGCAGGAGAUAGGUAAGCGCGGUAUUGAUAUCCCGCGUCCAAGCAGUUAGGCUGGGAAAUAGGCAAAUCCGUUUCCCGUAAAGGCUGAGCUGUGAUGGCGAGCGAAAUUUAGUAGCGAAGUUCUUGAUUCCACACUGCCAAGAAAAGCCUCUAGCGAGGUGAGAGGUGCCCGUACCGCAAACCGACACAGGUAGGCGAGAGAGAAUCUAAGGUGAUCGAGAGACUCUCGUUAAGGAACUCGGGCAAAAAUGACCCCGUAACUUCGGGAGAAGGGGUGUCUUAGGGUGUUAAAGCCCGAGAAGCCGCAGUGAAUAGGCCCCAGGCGACUGUUUAGCAAAAACACAGGUCUCUGCGAAGCCGUAAGGCGAAGUAUAGGGGCUGACGCCUGCCCGGUGCUGGAAGGUUAAGAGGAGCGCUUAGCGUAAGCGAAGGUGCGAAUUGAAGCCCCAGUAAACGGCGGCCGUAACUAUAACGGUCCUAAGGUAGCGAAAUUCCUUGUCGGGUAAGUUCCGACCCGCACGAAAGGCGCAACGAUCUGGGCACUGUCUCAACGAGAGACUCGGUGAAUUAUAAGCACCUGUGAAGAGCGUUACCCGCGACAGGACGGAAAGACCCCGUGAGGCUUUACUGCAGCCUGAUAUUGAAUGUUGGUACAGCUUGUACAGGAUAGGGUAGGAGCCUUGGAAACCGGAGCGCUAGCUUCGUGGAAGGCAUCGGUGGAUAACUACCCCGCUGCCUUAACGGAGAGGGCAGGGAGACAGUCAGGUGGCAGUUUGACUGGGGCGGUCGCCUCCUAAAUGUAACGAGGCGCAGGUUCUCAGAUAUGGGAAAUCAGCAGAGUGUAAAGGCAACAGGGAGCUUGACUGCGAGACCUAGUCGAGCAGGGACGAAAGUCGGUAGUGAUGGUGUUGCAUGAGGGCCAUCGCUCAAACGGAUACAGGAUAUCCCAAGAGUCCACAUUCGACGGGAGUUUGGCACCUCGAUGUCGGCUCAUCGCAUCCUGGGCUGUAGUCGGUCCCAGGGUUGGGCUGUUCGCCAUUAAAGCGGUACGCGAGCUGGGUUCAGAACGUCCGUGAGACACGUUCGGUCCCCUACGUCGCGGGCGCAGGAAAUUUGAGAGGAGCCUGUCCUUAGUACGAGAGGACCGGGAAUGGACGCACCGCUGGUGUACCAGUUGUUCUGCCAAGGGCAUCGCUGGGUAGCUAUGUGCGGACGGGAAUAAGUUGCUGAAAGCAAUCUAAGCAUGAAAGCCCCCCUCAAAGAUGAGAAUUUCCCAUUCCGCAAGGAAGUAAGAUCCCUGAAAGAUGAUCAGGUUGAUAGGUCUGAGGUGGAAGCGUGGUGACACGUGGAGCUGACAGAUACUAAUAGAUCGAGGACUUAACCUA
RNAcentral lists this ribosomal RNA (2828 nucleotides) under Bacillus pumilus. Its description in RNAcentral is "23S ribosomal RNA". It matches the Rfam family "Bacterial large subunit ribosomal RNA". The record is from RNAcentral. Lineage: Bacteria; Bacillati; Bacillota; Bacilli; Caryophanales; Bacillaceae.